AGCGAACGCUGGCGGCAGGCUUAACACAUGCAAGUCGAGCGGGCACCUUCGGGUGUCAGCGGCAGACGGGUGAGUACACGUGGGAACGUACCCUUCGGUUCGGAAUAACGCUGGGAAACUAGCGCUAAUACCGGAUACGCCCUUAUGGGGAAAGGUUUACUGCCGAAGGAUCGGCCCGCGUCUGAUUAGCUAGUUGGUGGGGUAACGGCCUACCAAGGCGACGAUCAGUAGCUGGUCUGAGAGGAUGAUCCGCCACACUGGGACUGAGACACGGCCCAGACUCCUACGGGAGGCAGCAGUGGGGAAUAUUGGACAAUGGGCGCAAGCCUGAUCCAGCCAUGCCGCGUGAGUGAUGAAGGCCUUAGGGUUGUAAAGCUCUUUUGUCCGGGACGAUAAUGACGGUACCGGAAGAAUAAGCCCCGGCUAACUUCGUG
RNAcentral lists this ribosomal RNA (434 nucleotides) under uncultured bacterium. RNAcentral's name for it is "partial 16S ribosomal RNA". It matches the Rfam family "Bacterial small subunit ribosomal RNA", at positions 29 to 507 of the family's 1533-position model. The record is from RNAcentral.